GCGGGUGUGGCGGAAUUGGCAGACGCACUAGCCUUAGGAGCUAGCGCUUACGCGUGCAGGUUCAAGUCCUGUCACCCGCACCA
Molecule: transfer RNA, 83 nt
Filed under: Clostridia bacterium
Lineage: Bacteria; Bacillati; Bacillota; Clostridia
Also listed under: 1 other name
Description: tRNA-Leu
Rfam family: tRNA
About the family: Transfer RNA (tRNA) molecules are approximately 80 nucleotides in length. Their secondary structure includes four short double-helical elements and three loops (D, anti-codon, and T loops).
Source: RNAcentral